This 1493-nucleotide long non-coding RNA is filed under the name Equus caballus (horse). Its description in RNAcentral is "lncRNA (ENSECAG00000050858.1)". Lineage: Eukaryota; Metazoa; Chordata; Mammalia; Perissodactyla; Equidae. The record is from RNAcentral.
AACUCAGACUAAGAAGGUAUAUCCUUUUCAUAGUCUACCUUUAAUCAGUAAUUGAAAUAAAAUCUGAUUCUGAAUUUUAAAUGUUUCACUAAUAUCUAAUAGCAAUACUAAACCCUAGGGGGUUAAAAUGAUUUAAAUGGCAGUAGCAUACAUCAACAUAUGCAAAUAAAAAAUAAGAUUUUCACCUCACCUCCAAACAUUAAAUAGGAUCAAUUUAAGGUGUGAACAUAUUUUGAAACAAUUUGAUUUUCAAGAAGUAAUUUUUAUUACUAGGAAAUGAAUUUCAAGAGAAGUCUUCCCACUUUUUAAAUAUCCGACAAUAGCUACGUGACAUCUUACAGAAUAUGACAGUAAAAGCCAACCAGGACCAAAGAAAAUGUGGUUCAUCAAUUUACAUAUAAUCACAUUUAGAUUUUAAAGUGCUGCAAAGUGUUCCAUUCUAGUUAGGCCUGGCACAUGACUAAGAAUCAAUAACUGAAAGACUUUGGCGAAAGACUUUAGAAGCAGAAAGAUCAAGAUCCAAUUUUCCUUUCCCCCAAACUCCAGCCCACAGGGGCCCUGGCUCCCUCAGCUCUUUAGUAGACCACGCUUGGGCGACUACUCAUACUCUAACUCCUGCCGUCUGUAACAUUCGAUGAAUUACAACGACCAAUGAUGUGUUUACUUUAACUCUAAUUUCUCAGAGUAACAAUAUCAAAUAUAUUAAAUGUACUCCUUUAGCACAUUCAGAAAGGGUAUGGGACAUAGAGGCAAAACAGUUCCAUGAUGAAUAAUAAGAGGAAAAGUUCAUAAGAACGCAAGAGGGGAAAUAUUAUUAUGCAUUAAUUAGUUUAUUUAAGAAGUAAGUUAUUCUAACAUGCAUUUAAGAAACACUGAAAAGUAUACUGUAUUUUAUGUUGACCUAAAUCCAAAUCACUUUGAAAAUGGAUUACAGUUAAUAAAAAAUUAAAAUAAAAUUACUUAUCUCCCAGCAAUGAGAAAUCACUUAAUUGCCUAACCAUGUAAUGGUCUCUGGGGUUAUUUUAUUUCAGUCUUACCCUCCUUAGGUUUAUUUUCUUUUCCACCAUAUUCCAGACUUUUUUUUCGCAACAUUGUUAUUAAUAUCAUUGGCCCUUGUUGCAGAAAGCAGAAGUUUUAAUGUAUUUUAAUUUUGAUUAUUUCAUGCUGUGUAUUCUGCUGCUUUGUUGAUAUUUACUUACAUUUUUAAAUCAUCAAAAUAUUUUGUAAGCAAUGCUUGGGGAACACAUUUUUCUCAAUUAGUUAACAUGUUAAAAUAAUGUCAUUUUCUUUAAAGAUAGGUGGCAAUGAUCAAAAGGAGGAACAGCAGUUUCUUUAAACCCUUAACCGUAACGGCUAGUGGAGGUGCCAGCCCGCUACGUCUUCCUGUGUGCACAGCUAUUUAUAAACGGAGGAGUCAGAUGGUCUAUGCUUCUCCCCUAGGAGGGGAUUAAUAAAAUGGGUUUACUUCGAUCCCCGAAUUUCUAAGAUGGGAG